ACUUUUUCGGUAUUUCUCGGUUUCGGUUUUUUUAUUUCGAUUACCAAAAUUCGGUUUACCAAAUCAUAAAUUUUCGGUCGGUUUUUGAUCGGUUUGGUAUUUACCAAACCAAGUGGCAGCCCUAGUCAUGACAAUCUCUUUUAAGUAGCCGAAUGAAACACACCUACCGUUGAACAUUAUAACAUUGACAUACGUUGGAUAUUUCGAUAGAUACAUUAGGUAUCACCUAACACUCUGAAGUAUUGAUACAUGAAUUGGUUAUUAUAUUACAUCAGAUAGCACAAAAUACGUAAAUAACUGUUGUCGACAAAAAAAAAAAAAAUAGAACUCUACCUGUAACAUCCUGGACCCAAUUUUACCUAUUUACUAGAUAUUCCACGAGUUAAUGAGGAAUUGAACGGUGCUCGGUAAUUUAGUAAUUUAACACUCGAGUUUAUUGUCGAGUUUUUCUCAAAAUGUUUAAUUCUUCUUUUAAGGCUUCUAGGUCGUAGUGCGCGUCGACACGAGUUCUCUGAUGUCCUCGGAUUAUUUUUGGGAGCUUCGGGCUAUUUUCUACGAUUUAUCAAAGAAUAUGGGUCGUUGAUCUUUAAUCAUCGAUCAUCUGCUAUCCAUUUAUGUUGUUAAUUAGAGGAAGAUGUUAAAUAGAGGAAGAUUGGUCAGACCCAGUCAAAGAACCCAAGUCGGGUUUGACCGAGCCUAACCGAGUCUCUCUCUCUCUCUCUCUCUUUCGUCUCCGUCGACUCUACGCCGGAGCGCCGCCGUCCGGCCACCCCAGGCGACGAGAUCACCGCUGUUCUCUUCCUCUCCUCCUUUCCUUUCUAGCCCAGCUCGUAGAUCACGCAUGCAACCAAGAUCGAUGGAGAUCGAAAGCUUGGGUGCUUCACUGUUGCUGUCGAUUUCCGGUGAGCUCCGACAUGGGCGACGACUUUGAAGGGUAUAUUCUUAUUCUCCUCACUUCCCUCUUCCUUGUUGUGUCUUUAAUCUUUUGAUUCAUGCCCUAAUCGGAGGAACCCCUUUUCUUCUAUUUUCUGGGUUCGGGUUCCAGCGACCUCCUUUGUUCUCUAGUGUUAAACCAUUUGCAGCAGAGGCUAGUGGAGGUGACCCGAGGUGAUGUGGUGUUGUGUUUGUGGAGAUGGCGACUGAGUAGAAGCUUCCAGGCGGGUAGCUUUUCGUUAAGGCUUAUGGGCUGUUGGUUUUGUUCUGGAAGUAGCUGAAGGUACUGCAUGUCGAUUCCAAGAAAGGAGGAGCCACUGGGUUCUUUGGUUUGGGCAGAUUUAAGGUAAGCUUAGUCUUUGGAGUUUUGGUGUUGGCUGGUGAAGUCUGUGUUAUUAAUUUGUGGCUGAAAUUGUGGUGAUCUAUUAUUGCAUGUCGGUAACUUGGUGUUUCGAAGAAUUCGGGGAGGUCAUGGCCAAUUUCCAGCAAGUGGCCGGAAUCCGGUAGAAUAUUCCGGUCAGUCACCGGAUUCCGACGAUGCUGCAGUUCUGGCAGAAUCCAUGAAGGUAGUUGUCGACUUUCCGUUUUCGUUUAAGUUAUAGUUUACGGUUUAGGAAAACCUGCCAUAUUGAGAAAGUUUCUAUUUUUGAAAACAUCCCAUUUAUGGAAAACCCUUUUUGGGUGCCCUUAGUAAUUUAGUGGUUUUCCGGUUUAAUGUGUUCCGUAUAUUUGAGUCUUUGAAUUUACACUAGUUUGGUUAAUCGUUUCCGAAGGUUGCCAAAACGAUCUUUUAAGCGUAAAAGUUGGGGAGCAUUGGUGUUUCAUGAAUUAUUUAAAUGACGCCAAGUGUGUAACGGUUAGUAGAAUAUUUGGUGAUUUGACUCGGAUCGUUAAGUCAAAGGUUAAUUUGGAAAUGUCCAAACUUCAUUAGUUGGCCUACCCUAAAUCAAUUGGUCAAAAUUGGUCAAUUCUGGUCAACCCAGGAAACCUAGCCAAACUAGGAAGAAGUUGAAUCGAUGAUUAUUAUGGAGUACGAUCUGACCAAUUUAUUCUUCUGUUUAUCAUCAGACGUGGAAUUGGUUAGAGAGUGUGAAUAGUUGGAGGCAGAGCUCGAGGAGUAUUGCGAACAUUGGAAGACUAAGGCCUGAUACUGUGAGUGGAAUUUUGUUUUAAAUAAUAUGCAUGCAAUGAUUGAUUUUUGAGCAAUUUAUUUUGUUGGAGCAUUUGACGUCAUUUUAUUUUAACGAUUUUAUUUCUUUUGAAGAGUUAUCGAAAAUGGGAUUUUCGGUGAAUAUAAUUAUAUAUUGAUGAGGAGAGUAUGUAUAUAAAUGCUAGCUAGCCAUAUGUGUCUGUCCACCUUAAUGGCGUAGCAUAUAGCCGCAUUAUGGUGUGACGUGAGCGUUGGACGUGAGCGUGAGCAUGAGCGUAGUAGCCCUAUAUGAGUGCUUAAUUCAUAUAGGGGGUAUGGACACAUUUAUACACCCGUCUGUUCACUUUAAUGGCGUAGUGUAGCACCGCAUUAAGGCGUGACUUGAGCGUUGGACGCGAGCGUAGUAGCUCUAUAUAGACCCAUGAAUUUAUAUAGGGAGUAUGGACGUGUGUAAAUACAUACAUAUAUUUUAGCCUGAGAGGCUCUAUUUUAUAAAGCUUUGGAGACUAGCCGGAGCUAGUCGUGUUAUUGUCAGUUUAUGAGUUGAGAGCUUUUGAGCUUGUUGCAUGCAUCAUAAUUUUUAUGGAAAAUAAAUGGGAAUGCAUAAAUAUUUUUAUUGAAUUCAGUUUUGUCCACUCACUCUAACGGUUUCAAAUGUUUCCCCUAGGCCCUUCGUUUUAAAAAUGCCCAGCUUGCAGGUUAGCUUAGUUGAAGUCGGGCGUACUUGGAGUCGAGACAUAAUUCGUAUUAUAGCUUCCGCUUAUUUGUUUUUCUGUCUCUUUUAUUCCUUUUAGAGUUGCUCUGAACCAAUGAAUUGUUUGAUGUGGGAUUAUAUUUAGAUUAGUGAAUAAGUUGGGAGGUGUUGUGAUUUGGGGAGCACGAAGGCUCCAGGAGUUUAAGGUUGGAUUUGGAUUUUCAUAAGUGUUUGCAGGUAUUAUUAGGAAGGGUUGUCCAUUUUGAAGGGAGGUUAUGCCGAAUUUUCGGUAAACUUUCCUUAGAGGUGGUCCCCGCAAAAUUUAUUCCGGGUUUGAGAGUGAAAUUCGAGGUGGGUCCUGACACUACCGAUGACUGUUCAUUCGGUCUUCUGUUUGUCAUCUUCUUGUGAGAUUGAGGAUGAUAUUGACACUAUAUCCAUCCUUCUGCGACAAUGAAAAAAUGUCGUUAAUACUUCUUAAGCAUAAGUGUCACGCCCCAAUUUUUUGAAAGAUAAUUUUUAAAAAUUUUGGCAUGAUCUAACUUUAAAUAAUAUAAUCCCAAAACCUGUUUCAAACAAAUUUCAAGAAAACUAAACUCAAUGCAGAAAAUGUAAAUGUUACACAACUCAACACUGAGUUAAAUAUUACAUUUCCUUAUUUACAUAAACUUGAAAGUCAAGAAAAUGAAAAUGCUCACAUGAGUUUAAUGUUGUCUACCCCAAAUAUAAAAAUAUACAAUAUACAACAAAACCCAAUAAAAAAACCCUGCCACUAAGCCUCCGCCUCAACCCUGCUGGUCCUCACCUGCAGGUCUAACCCCUACACCAAGACAUGGUGCACCGGGUUGUAAACAACAAACCCGGUAAACUAAAAAGCCCAUAUGAGUAAUUCUCAAAAUAACACAAAAACUUCCAAUUACCAAUUAUAACACAAGAACAAUUAUAUCAAUAAUUAAAAACCACAAAUCCAACACUUUUUCAAUUAACAUGUACCCAUGAGUCCCAAGUAUUAAUAAAUACCCCUCAUGACCUACAACAACAAAAUAUGUCCCAGAUACCCUACGGUAUCUCCCAUGACCUACACUGACAGACGGACUAGAGCACUAUUCCUAACCGUAACCAAUCACCCGGCCAAAGGCUUGGAACCCGGUUUGACUGUCUAAUAUCAAACACAAAAAUGAUAAAUAGCAUCUUAACCGCAACCAAUCACCCAAUUAAAGGCUUGGAACCCGGUUUGACUAUUUAUCCAACAAUCAUAAUAUCACAACAUUAUCCUCGACAACACAAUAUCACAUCAUUAUUCUCAACAACACAAUAUAGAUAUUCCACAAGAAUAAUCUAUCAAUAAUCAAUAAAAUUAUGAUCACAUGAAUCUCAAAAUAGCAUUUAAAGAAAACUUGAUUUAUCUUACCUAUGAGUUGUUGACGAUCAACCUCAUAUAUUUUUUAAAAACAAUUAAAAACAUAUUAUUAAAUCCAACAUCAUCAUCAUUAUCAUCAUAUGACCAUAAUAACAUUAAAAGUGAACCUUGGUGAGAUUUACUCACCUAAAUAUCCCGCUGCAAUUUCCACAACCGAAUAUAGCAAGCGAAACACAACUUCACAAAUCACCUAAAAUCACACAAUUAAAACCUUAGUAACUAAAUACUAUAGGUUAACACAAUACGUACCCUUAACUAACCCUUAGAUCAAGGGAGGACAACUUUCCAAAGUCGUCGAACUUAGAGACCCAAAAUGGCUGCCUCUAAUCCUCAAAUUCUAACUUCAAACCUCAACCAAGCCUAAUAACUAACUUAAUGUCCUAACAUACAAACUUUCCUCACAACUUAGAAAUUCUACAUCUCCACAAGCUCACCACAACAAGAGCUAGCUAAAACACAGCAACCUAAACCAAAACCACUGCCGGACGCACUGCCACGCGCCGCCACAGGCGGCGGCGAGUGGGCCCCACGCGCCACCAUAAACUUUCGAAUUUGAGAAAACUCUCAAUAGCAAAGUUGAAGCUUGAAGUAAGGAGAACAACUUUCAUACCUGAGACUUCAACCAAUUUUGGCCAGAACCGGCCGAAAACUGCCCCGAAACCCUAACCAGAAAUCAAACUCGAAACCUGCAAAUCCGGGCUCAAAAACCUCAAAACUUGAUUCAAUGUAUGCCUAGACACUACCAGGAGGAGGAGAGGAUUAAAACUCACCUAUGGUUGCCCCUCGUCGCCGCCGUAUACGGCGGUUCCGACCAGUGGCACAUCAGCGCCCUUUGCCGGCCAAACGCGUCAUUUUCGGCGUCCUACACCAAGCAGCAGCUGCCCAGCCUUGAAGAGGGCACCUGUGGGAGUCGAACGGGACUAGCGGCAGUCCAAUUGGUGGUCGGACGGCAGAGCUAGCUCCGGUGGAAGCUUGGUCCUCGGGAGGGCUCGGGAGAGGAAGAGAGAGAAGAGAGCGAAAAGUGAAAAGAGAGAAAAGAGAGGGGGGCUGACUUUUUUUAGGGUUCCAAAAUAACUCCCACACACAUUUUUCUACUUAUACACUUUCCAAUCCCGGAAACUAACUUCCUCUGACCAUAACUUUCUCAUAUGACACCCGUUUCAAGCGUGCCGCAUGUCUACGAACUCGUAACGACAAACUCUACAACUUUGAUGAAAGAAGUUUUUGAAGAUAACUUACAGAAAAUGUAACAUCCCGGACCUAAUUUUACCCCUUUUACUGAGUAUCUUAUGAGUUACUGAGGAAGUUAGCCAUGCUCGGUAAUUUGGUAAUUUAACACCCGAAUUUAUUGUCGAGUUUUUCUUAAAAUGUUAAAUUCUUCUAUUAAGGUUCCGAGGGUGUAGUGCACGAUGGCACGAGUUCUCCAUUAUCAUCGGAUUAUUUUUGGGAGCUUCGAACUAUUUUCUACGAUUUAUAAAAAAUCUGGGUCGCUGAUCUUUAAUCAUCGAUCACCUGUUGUCCAUUUCUGUUGUUAAAUAGAGGAAGACUGGUCAGACCCAGUCAAAAUGCCCAAGUCGGGUUUGACCGAGCCCAACCGAAUCUCUCUCCUCUCCCCGACUCUCUGUGUGUCCGUCGUCGUCCCUCGCCGGAGCAGCGCCGUCCGGCCACCCCUUGGCAACGAGACUACCACCAAGUGGUCCUCUCCUCCUUCCCAACCUAGCUCAACUCUCAAAUCCGGGAGGCAGCCAUUCUCGGCGGAGAUCGGAAGAGGAGGACAAAGCCUGUUCUUCCCAAAUUCCGGUGAGUUCCUGCAACGAAUCGACAGACCAAGGUCAGAUUCUUAUUCUCCUUCCUCUCCUCUUCUUUUUUGGGUUUGUUUCAUCCUGAAUCGAGUUCUAAACUGCAAAGCCCUUUUCUGCCUUUUUCUGGGUUUCUGGUUCCUAGCUCCGGCGACCUACGUUCAAUGGAUUUUCGGUGAGCUCUUCAAUGUUUCGAUGGGUUCUGUGAGCUUUGUGUGAAGUCAGGAUGGACCUUGGAGCAGUUGCUUGUUGGUCCGGGCUGAGGCAGAGGUCGGGUGAGUUAGGACUGAGAGGAACCGAAGUGUGGGGUGUUGUUUUGGUGGAGUUGGCGACCGAGGCAGCAAAUAUAAAUGGUUGGAGGUUUCUGCAGGUUGGGAUCCGGCAGGAGAGCAGCUAGACUAGAGUUAUGGGAUUGACUGAAGGUAAACUCGAUCUCCUCUAGUAUUUUGGAGCUGCUGUGUUGUUGUUGUUGUUGGUUGGUGUUUGAAUCAUUUAUUUUCUGCAUGAUUGUCGAUAACUUGGAGAUUGGAAGAUGCAGGGAGAUUAUGGUGAAAAUUUCGGCAAGUCACCGGAAUCUGACCAGUAUUUCUGGCAAGUCACCGGAAUCCCGAUAGGCAGCAAUUCCGGCAGAAUCCGUGAAGGUUGCUUGUCGACUUUUCUUUUCGUGUAAGUGGUAGUUUACGGUUUAGGAAAACCUGCCAUAUUUAGAAAGUCUCUUUUUAGGGAACUUUCCCCUUUAUGGAAACUUUCAUUCUUGGAAACCCUUUUGGGUGCCCUUAGUAAUUGUUAGUGUGAAGUUGGGUAGAAAAGAAAUGUUGGAAUUGUUGGUUCUAGUUGGCUUGAGCUAGGGGACCAUAAAAUAAUUUUUGUUAAUAUGAUUACUACCCAUAGUAACCCUAAACUCUAGACCAUUGGCUUCGUGGUGAUUUUGGAAGUGAAUUGCUUAGUGUGAUAAAGGCAUGGAAAUUGUUUGUGACUUUGAUUACCGGCUAAGGUUUGGUUUGGGACCGAAGGAGUUAUAGUUGUGAAAGUUAAUCGAAAUGAUUAUUAAUUUCUGUUUGUCAAACGUGGGUCAAGCCUGGUCAAUUUAUGGUCAACCUAAGAGAUUCUAAUCGAACUAGGAAGAAGUUGAAUAGUUAAUUUUUAUGGGGUCCGGUCUGACCGAUUUGUUCUUCUGUUUAUUAUCAGACGUGGUUUUUGGCUAUAGAGUAUGAAUAUUUGGAGGCAGCGCUCGAGGAGUAUUCCGAGCAUUGGAAGGCUUAGGCCUCAUACUGUGAGUGGACUUUUGUUUUAAAUAAUAUGCAUGCUAUGGUUCAUGGUCGAACAUUUAAAUUGUUGGAGUUUUGACGUCAUUUAAUUUUGACACUUUUAUUUCUCUUGGAGAGUUACCGAAAAAUGAGAUUUUUCGGUGAGUAUAAAUAUGUAUAUUGAGGAGAGUAUGUAUAUAAAUGCUAGCUAGCCAUAUAUGUUUGUCCACCUUAAUGGCGUAGCAUAUAGCCGCAUUAUGGUAUGACGUGAGCGUUGGACGUGAGCGUAGUAGCCCUAUAUGAGUGUUUAAUUCAUAUAGGGGGUAUGGACACAUAUUUAUACACCCGUCUGUCCACCUUAAUGGCGUAGUGUAGCACCGCAUUAAGGCGUGACGUGAGCGUUGGACGCGAGCGUAGUAGCCCUAUAUAGACCCAUGAAUUUAUAUAGGGAGUAUGGACGUGUGUAAAUACAUACAUAUAUUAUAGAGCCUGAGAGGCUCGACAUUUAUGAGAUAAAAGUUUUAUCGCUUGCAGCAUGCAUUUGAUUUUCCUUGGAAAUUGUUUUGGGGAAACAAAUAUUUUAUUCGUUAAUUUAUUUUUGUCCACUCACUUUAACGUUUCGUUUUCAAAUGUUUUCCCCUGGGCUCUUCGUUUUAAAAAUGCCCAAUUUGCAGGAUUGCAUAGUUGUGGUCGGACGUAUUUGGAGAAGAGGCAUAGUCAAUAUUGUAGCUUCCGCUCAUUUUUAUAUUUCUAGUUCAUUUCCUUUCAAAUAUAGUUGCUCUGAACUGUGGCUGUUGGCUAUGAGAUUAUCUUGUUUAAGUUGAUGAUUAAAUUGGGAGAUGUUGUGAUUUGGGGAGCACGAAGGCUCCAGGAGUUUAAGGUUGGAUUUGGAUUUUUCAGAAGUGUUUGCAGGUAUUUAUUAGGAAGGGUUGUCCAUUUUCAAGGGAGGUUAUGCCGAUUUUUUGGUAAACUUUCCUUGGAGGUGGUCCCCGCAAGACUUACUUCGAGUUUCAGGGUGAAAUUCGGGGUGGGUCUUGACAGAAAAUAAAGUCAACUUUUGGCCUCUUAAAAGUCAAAGCAUCUUAAAUAAACUCUUGAAACUUCAACUUCGCAUAAACCAAAGAAUUUCCAUAAAUAAUCCUUCAUUAAAUAAAGGCAUAAUACAAAGAAAAUUGAUAUGAAAAUCUAAGGUAUUACAAUAAGGAUCCAAAUUCAUAUCAUGUAACGAACCACAUGAUAGGGUUUAAACCUUAAGCAUUAGAAGUACCUUAUGAGAUCAUAUUAACUUGGAAGAUGAAGCAAGAUCUCUUUUUAGACAACAUUUGCUGUGAACAUUCCUUCACGUUCUUCUAUCGACCUUUCUUGACCAAGACUGUGGUGGUAGCUUUUGAAAGCCCUCGUGAUAAAGCUACGUAUAAGUGUCCAUGACUGAAUACAUGAUCCGGGAGGUGAAUACCGAUAUUUGGUAUUGAUUGCCCUUGGGAUUUUUUAUUAUAAGUGCAAAGCUCAACUUUAUAGGAAAUUGUUUCUUAUCAUCUCAAAAGGGAGUCCAAAAUUCUUGGUACUUUUUAAGGAGAUUCUUGGUAAAAAUACUCUAAUUUUGGCAAAUUGACCACUCAAAAUUUCCGAGUCAAUAAGGUUCCUAUACAAUCCACGACAUGUUAAUCUUCUACCAUUACAUAAUCCCGUCUUAGGGUCAAUGUUUUUCAAAAGCAUAAUAAUAGCGCCUUCUUUUAUAGUUAACUGAUGUGAGGGCAUACCAGAAAGUGAAAUGGAAUUCAAGAAUUCUUGUUGGUACAUAAUUCUGGUAUUAUCCUCAAUUGAGUCGAAAGAGUACAAGAUGUGUUCAUGCCCUUGAAUUCGUUUUAUAAUAAUCUCAUUUAGUACAUCAACAUCAUCAUUUUUUGGUGUGAUUAUUGCUCUUUCAACCAUAUAUGUUGAGUCAAUAACAUGGGAUUCCAAAUUAGGAAUGUAAACACGAAAAUUCCUAUAACGAAUAACAGAAAAACACGUGUGCAAAAUAAAAUAUUUGUAUUGAUGAAUUUGCGGGUUACAAUCUCUGUGGUAUUCUUUAACAAGAAUUUCCUCUGAUUCAAUCUCCGAUGUUUAUUUGAUCCAAGGGUGACGAGCACUUUAUCUUGAAUCGAAUGGUUUUAGUUUGAACUUCUUGACAAUUUGUAGAGGAUGAUUGACCAUGGGCCGUAGAGGCUUGUUCUUGAUUAGAUUUAGGCCACAAGUAGUAUCACGUGGUGAACAUUCUUUGGCUUUGAUAGCGGAUGAAUCGGUGGUACUUGUUGAUUCUCUACGAGCUUGUUGAAGAACUUGGUAGAAGUUUUGAUUUGUUGAAGAAUUGAAGAUGAGGGUUGAUCAAGAGCCAUGGAGGCUUGAUGUUGAUCGGAUUUGGGCCACGAGCGGUUCCAUGUGGUGAUUGUUCUUCGUUUGGAAGUUGGUGAAGAGUUCAACUAUUUGGAAGCUUGAUGAUUCUUCGGGAUUUGACAUCUUUAAGCCUUCAGAUUGGUGAAUGAAGUGGCUACUUGGGUGCUUGGUGUUCUUCACAAGUGUUUCAAGACUUCUGGCAAUAAUUUUGUUCUCUCUGGCUGGAAGUCCUCCUCUUGAUAUGAGAGGGGGUAUUUAUAGUGUCGAUGUUCCUCCGUAUAUGAAACGUAUCAAGAAUACCAUUUAAUUUUGUUUCCUUAAUGGUAUAAUUAAAUAAAUUAGUUUUGAUUCAAUGAUUCAAUUAUUAUUAUCAACAAAAUUAAAUCAAUUAGUCUUGAUUAAUUGGAUUUAAUUAUGACUGAUAAGGUAUAUAUCGAUUUGAUUAAAUAUCUGAUUUCGAUUACAACAAUCAAUAUAAUUUGAUUGACAUCUGAUUGACGGAUGACAUUUAAUGCUUGUGUUUAGUCGGGAUUGACGAUUUUGUUGUUGACUGAUCUUUCACACGUCGCCAUGUGUCAUUUCCAGAAUCUCUUUGGUAUUGUUGACUCACGGACCAUGUAUGCAUUUGUCGAGCACAUGCGUUGUAUGAAUAAUUCAACGAUUUUUAUUUUCGUUAAAUUUUAUGUGUCUAUAUGGAAAAACCUCAUCAAUUAGAUGGUUGAUUGAUUGUUCGCCGUCCCAUGGUAUAACCAUACAUGACGGUAAUUGUAUUAUUUCUUCAGCCACAUAUGGGUUGUUCUCCCAUUUCUAACAUCAAGUAAGAAAUCUGAGAAUUGUGGAUCGUUGAUGGAUCUUAUGUUUUGUCGUAAAAGAAGUAUUUUCACAUCUUUCCAAAACGAAGCAUUAAUCAUACUGGCUUGGACCAUCUUUGGCCUUGUACCUUUAGGGACAACCGAUAGAAUUUGUCAAAAAUCUCCGCCAAAGAUAAUUACUUUACCUCCAAAUGGUAAUUGAACUUAUUGUUAUAUCUUUCAAACUUUGAUUCAGAGCUUCAAACGCAUUUUUAUGCAUCAUUGAUGCCUCAUCACAAAUAAUAGUUGAUGAUCUCCGUAUUAAUUAUGCUAAAUCUGAUUGUUUACUAAUAGAGCAUGAGGAAGAUUUUUCAGGAUCCAAUGUAAUUUUAAACCUGGAGUGAGCCGUGCUUCCACCAAGAAGUAUGGUUGUUGCUAUUCCAGAAGUUGUUGUCGCUAGUACAAUAUGGGUUUUGCUUCUCAAUGUUGCGAACAAUGCACGAUAUAAGUAUGUUUUUCUACUACCUCCUGGACCAUCAACGAAAAAGAUGACAUUGUCAUUUUGCUUAAUGGCAGAUAUUAUAGUGUUGUAUGCAAAAGUCUGAUCUUGAUUUAGAUGAUGAACUGCAAUGAACUCUUUUUGGGGAGUAAUAACUGAAGCCUCAUCUUGUAUUACCCUUGGCACUGUUAAGUCUCGGUUAUAAUCAUGUGUGCCAAAUCAUAAUCUGAGAUAGAUAUAUAAUGUUGGCCAACAACUCAUUCAAGUCUCGCAAAAGUCUGUUUGUGGAAUGUAUAGUGUCUGCAAUACUUGAAGAAGUAUAAUCUUCUAUCAUAAAGUUGUAAAAUUGAUCCCACAAAUUUUGCACGCCAUGAGGCGUACAAUAAACUAAGAUGGUGGCAAACAAUCUUCUUAAAGAUGAUGUCAUACAUAUGUUUAAGCCUUCGUGUAAACAGACAAACCUUGUUACUCAGCAGCUUUCUUAAAAGUUGGCUGCAAUAUAUCAUUCACUGUUCUUAGAUAUUCAUACGAUCGAUGUAGGUCCUCUAACGUGAUUCAAAAGAACACGCAAGUAGAAUUUUUCUUCUUCUGAAGGAGAUAUUGUGUAUAUUCUACCAAUUGUCUUUUGGUUACUAUGUCUUUCUUCCCAUGCCAUGUUAUCAUUGUCCCAUGUUAAUUUUUCAGGAUAUUCUCAGUAUAAGUAUUGCCGUGCACUCUUACAUUUGCCGUUCUUAGCAAAAAAUUAUGUAAGCAUUGUCUUAGAGUUCAUGUCAUUAGCGAGGAUAUUUGUUACCCUUUGAUGAGCAUGAAAAUAAACAUUAUGUCUAUUAGGUAGAUGAAUUUGCAAUAUUCGGUUCAUUAAGAAUUUGAAUAUUCACCAAAAAGCCUCUGGUGCACAAACCCAUCUUGCAACAACAAAAUUUUUGAUUUCAUCUUCAUUACCUUCAUGUCGGACUGCAAAUGUUACUCUAUUUGGACCUUUGUAGAUAUACUUGUACAUAUACUUAACACUUUUAAUGCUACAACAGAUUUCAACGUUGAUAUGACAAUCAUAUCUUGCAAGUAACUAACGGUUGUAUGGAACAACCCAACUGUUAUUAACUUCUACAUUUGAGUGGAUGUCACGCCUACGGUAGUUGGGGUAAGAGUCAUUCCCUUGAAAUAUAUUGAUUGAAAAUGGUUUGGGAUAACCUUUUUUGCAACUUACACGUUUCAUACAUGGGGAAUUUGGCUUAUGGACUCCCCAUGGGACAUGUAUCAUGCGUCUCAAUACAACAUUGUGCAACUGAGGCUCUUCAUCUUGAUUUGGUAUCUCAGCUCGAACAAUUUUAUCAUAAUCAUCAGGGUUAUUUAGCUUAUCAUCAUCAUGUAACAUGAGCAACAUAUGAGCAUCUGGCAAACCACGUUUUUAAAAUUCGAUAACAUAAACGUAUACAAUGAUUUUUCCCAAAACCCCUUUUUUGAUAACAUCUUUUAACUUUUCUAAUUUGACACGGAAAAUCCGAGUACAUAAAUCUGGACGAUCUUGUGAUACUUGACCCGACAAUAAUUCCCCUUGUAUUUCUUCCCAAUUUGGGUUGCAUGUUAUCAUGACAAAAAUAUCUGGCGUUCCGUACUUUUGGACCAAAGCCAUUGCGUCUUGGUACCUUUGAUGCAUAUCACAUGGGCUACCAAUAAAUGUGGAUGACAAAAUAGUUCUUCGACCAAUGUUAUCUGUUUUAGUAUUAUGAUGUAAGUGCUUGUUUUAAUAGGGUUGUCAAAUUAACAUAAAUUAACAUAAUGUUUUACUCUUAUAUAACAAUAAUAAAACUUAUACCUGCAUUAUCCUCACGAGCAUUUAGCAAGUCGUCGAGUCCUCCAUAAAGUUUACAUCGCAGAUUUGGUUGAUGACUACGAAUAUAUCUCAGCUUUUGUGAUUCAAUUUUGACAUAAUUGUCAACGACAUACUAUUGCAAUAGGCUGCCUCCUUGAAUCAAAAGUGAGUCAUCAUAUGGUCGAAUCUGAAAUAAUAUAUCAGUUAUCACAAUGCUAAAAACAACACAUGUACACACACAUAUAUAUAUGUCUGUAUAUAUAUAUAUACAUACAUACACGUAUUUAUUCACGAUAAGAAGGUAAAAAUAGUUCACCUACAAAACAUAUGCAUAAUAGGCAUGACACGUCAUCUCACGACCGUUGUUGUUUCGACUGUUUAUAUCUCAUCCGUACGUACCAUAAGGCAACAACAACGGAUAUUGUAAAGGAUUGUAAUAGCUUGCGCAAUCUGGAACAUUUAAAAGUUGACAUGCUCUUGUCUCUAUCAUAAUAUCACGACUUCCUAUAUCUUCUGCAUCAUCUGCACCCACUAUUAUUGCAGCAACCUGAGACAAAGAAGGUAGACUAUAUUGAGGUUGAUUUGCAGGAUGCUCUUUAAUAAUGAGUCUGCAUGUUUCCAAAUCUUGACGUUGAGCUAAGUGAUGCAAAAUCUGGACAAAUGGAUUACAUCGAUUUAAAAUCUGCUGAAUAGUCUCAACCACAUCUCUGUGUAAUGUUUCAUUCUCUAACACACGAUUGUCCAUGUCAUGCUCUGUAUCGUAUAUAUACAACUGUAGAAAUUGUGGUCUGGUAUCCCCAUCUGGUAGAAGACUUGUACACCCAGUGAUGUGAAAGAAAACACAUGGUUGUAAGACCAUCUGCCAUCGUAUGCCAAAACCCUAUAUAUGGCUUAUUACACCCUCCCAUGGUAAGCCAUUCCACACAUCCCAAAAAAAAAAUUUGCCAUAUGUGAACAGUUGAACCCCAUAUAUACCGAUCUAUUCUCGUAAGCCAUACCAAGCUAAUUUUUUAUUAUUUUAUCUUUUUGUUCCAUCUUUAUCCUUGUUCCAUCUUUCUUAUUCCAACUAUAUCCUUGCUUAAUUAUAGUUAUAAUUUCAUUUUCCCAUUAAUCUUCAAUUUUAUAAGUUUUCUAAUAAUAAAAAUUACACCAUUACAAAAUACAGGACGAGAUCUUUCAUUUGAGUCUAAUAUUGAAUAUAUUUGGGUUAAAUUAGUUUAACACAUAAUUAGUUAUUACUUCAUAAAAGAUAAUAUUACACAUUAUUAAAUUACGAAAUUAAAUAAUGGCCUCUUCAAAACCUUCUCGGAUACUAGCUCCGAGCUUGGAAAAAGUACCAUACACACUUAUGCAAACAAAAUAACAAAACGAUACAUAAAUAACUACUAAUCAUCACAUUUAGUAAUUCGUCAGAUCAUCAUCAUCUCUUCCAUGUUCUGGCAUGAGUCCAUAUCCGCUAGGUGUCUCAGAUCCACCGCUAUCUCUGAAUUGUCGCGCUCCUCCAUGUGCAUCACUUGUUCCCGAUCCAUCACUUCCUCCAUAAUGAGGGACUCCACCAUAUCCAGCUGCUCCUCCAUGGUGAUUCCCAUAUCCACCAAAUGUAGUUCGAAAUUGAAAUGGGCUAGCAAAGUUACCAGAGUUGAAAGAUCCUUGUGAACCACCUUGAAAUUGGUUUAUGUUAUUGAAAUUACCAAAGUCAGAUGCUGCAGGUAGUUGUCGAGACUGACGAGCUCUUCUCUCCAUUAUCUCUGCUUUUCUCGAUCGUAAGUACUCACGCCCUUCUGGAUCGGUAAUUGUAUCCAAACUAGUAAGCAUGAUUUUGUUUUCCUCACGUUCACGCUGAAUAGCUAAUUUUUGAGAUGAAUUGCUCGUGCUUAACAGUAAAAGCAUUUCUCUCUAACAGACUUUUUUCAAAUAACUCUUUCAAUUCUUAAUUGGAUUCUCUGAUUUGUUUAGCAAUCUUGGUCUGCUCAUUGGCCUCUUUCCUUUUCAGCUUUGCUUUCUUUACACCAAUGGGUCGACGAGACGUGUCGAGUUCAUCAUUAUAUAGCUCUUGUUCGUCUUCAUCUGCAUUUAAAUCGACAUCAAAUGGUAGUGUACCUGACGAUUGUGAUGUGCGAGACGCUAAUUCAUAUCCUUCACUUGAAUAAUUUCUUUGUCGUGGUCUUGUUGAACUUCUACCAGUAUCGGCCCACUUUUCAGCAUCCUUAAGAAUAUGCCACACAUGAUCAAACUGAAGUUUCUUCUUUGUGAAGUUAGGAUCAUCUAGUAGAAUUUGUUUUGCUUUGGCACACUACAAAUGUCAACAAUGAAUAAUUGGUUAACAUUAAUUCAUAAUAUAACUUCGUUAAUAAAAAACAGCCUUUGAAAAAAUACUUACAAUAUCUUUCUCAUUUGCACCGCUUGGAUUGUCAUCCUCCACUUGACGAACAACACCACGAAAUUUGCUUACACAGUAAGUAAGAUCUACAAAUCGACUUUGAAGAGACUUGGAUGUUCUCGUCUGAUUCUCAUCCUUAUCUUGAUUCCACAAUUCAGUGAUCCUCGCCCAUACUUUAUCCUUCUUUUGGUUAACACCAUCGAUAGGAUCUUGAGAAAUUUCAAGAUAUAUAUGACAUAAGAGUUCAUCUUCUUGGAUCGAAAAAUUUCCUUUUUGUUGGACAACUUUCUUUUGCCUAACAUCUGCCAUUGAAGUGUAUAAUGUGAUUGUUGUGGAAACAACGGUGUGAGUUACUGGGAGAAGAAGGGGUGUAUAUAAGGUCUGAAUCCGGAUAAGGGGAGAAUUUGAGAUAAGGAUCUAAUGGUUUGAGAUAGAUUUGCUUUACUAGAUCUAAUGGUCCGUAUAUGACGAUAUCUUCUUGAAAAAUGCAAUGUGUAGUCUGUCACCUUCUUGAAAGAAGUGUUGGACAUCUAUGCAUCUUGGUUAGAGUGACAAUAAUGUAAGUUGAAGGGAAAUAAUGUAUAGUGAUGUACUAGUAUAUUUUAUAUGAUAUAUGAUGUAUUGUAACAUUGAUAAAUUGAUAAUUAAUCAUAGAGUUAACAAAAGAAACAAGACAUAAGAAAUAAGUUAUCACUUUUAUUAUCCUUAAAAUACAAUCGGAGGGGACAUAAAGCCAAUACUCCGAAGAAAUUGCAUAGCAAAAUAAACACAACAACUUCAAUGAUAUGAUAAAUAUAGUAUUGAACAUUCUUCACCCAUGUAUACCAUGUCGGUUCCAUUGAUGUUCAAUCAACACGUUCCGUAGUGCAAUAUGAGCUGACUUGUCUUUAAUUUUCCUAUAUCGAGCAAGGAACUCUUGGAACCAUGUAUCUUCAUUACUUACCAACUCAACGGAUAAUGGAGGAGCCCGGUUGAAAUCUUUAAUCAGAGCACUUAGAUCACGCUCAUCUUCGAUUAUCAUGUUAUGCAUUAUGAUGCAUGUAGUCAUUAUAUCAUGCAAAACAUAUUUAUCCCAAAAACGUGCAGGUCCUUUCACAAUUGCCCAACGUGAUUGAAGAACUCCAAAUGCUCGCUCAACAUCCUUCCUACAUGACUCUUGAUUUUUUGCAAAAUGUGCUUUUUUUGAAAUAUGGCAUAUGUAUGUUGCUUACCGUGGGAAGCUCGGUUGAAUCAUUCCAUAGCCAUAAUAGAAUAUUCCAUUAUGAUAAGCCAUAAUGGCCUUUAUGGCAUACCCAUUUUAGCAUCUCGUGGCAGAUGCUCUAAGCACAAAUAUGUUGUCUGAAAUGAGCACCUUUUGGAGUUUGAGCAGAAAAUAGCUCUACCAUUUCUGGAGGACACUGAAUUAGAGAAACUAUUGUUUUCCCAUUUAGUAAACACAUUUCAUUGCUUUCAUGAUGGAAUAGGCGAGCAUAACAAUAUCGACAUGAUUUUGGUCUCGGCAAAUGAUAUUUUGUGACUAACAUUUUCAUGAAAAUUGCGGGCGCAAUUAUGAGAUACGCGUCGUCUACUUCUGCGACGUACUCGCGCCACACCAUUAUUAUAAGACAUGUCAAUUUGGAGAAUGACAUAUAUGAUAUUUCCUGUUAAUGUUAAAAAAAAAAAGAAAAAAAAAAAAAAAGUCAAUGCCACUAACUACGUAUAUUACGUAAUAAACGUAUUGUCACACCCCAAUUUUUGAAAGAUAAUUUUUUAAAAAUUUGGGUAUGAUAUACCUUAAAAUAUUAAAAUUCCAAACCUAUUUUAAACAACUUCAAAGAAACUAAAACUCAAUGAGGAAAUGUAAAUGUCACACAAUUCAACAUUGAGUUAAAUAUUACAUUUCCUUAUUUACAUAAACUUGAAAAUCAAGAAAAUGAAAACACUCACAUGAGUUUUAAUAAAGUCUACCCCAACUAUAAAAAUAUAUAGAGUACAACAAAACCCAACAAAAAACCCUGCCACUAAGCCUCCACCUCAACUCUGCUGAUCCUCACCUGCAUGUCUAACCCUUAUAUCAAGAAUUGGUGCACCGGGUUGUAAACAACAAACCCGGUAAACUAAAAAGCCCGUAUGAGUAAUUCUCAAAAUAACACAAAACCUCCAACAUCCAAUUAUAUCACAAGCAAUUUAUAUCAAUAAAUAUAUCCAUAAAUCUAAUACCUUUUCAAAUAACGUGUACCCAUGAGUCCCAGGUAGUAAUAAAUACCCCUCUUGACCUAUAACAACAAAUUGUGUACCCAUGGGUCCCAGAUACCAUAACCUAUCUCCCAUGACCUACACCGACAGACGGACUAAAACUCUAUUCCUAACCGCAACCAAUUACCCGGCCAAAGGCUUGGAACCCGGUUUGAUUGUCUAAUAUCAAAACACAAAAGUGAUAAAUAGCAUCUUAACCGCAACCAAUCACCCAAUUAAAGGCUUGGAACCCGGUUUGGCUAUUUAUCCAACAAUCACAACAUCACAACAUUAUCAUCAACAACACAAGAUCACAUCAUAUAUUAUAUCCUUCCACAUAGAUAUAUUACAUGAACAAAUAUAGAUAUUUCACAAGAAUAAUCUAUCAAUAAUCAAUAAAAUUAUGAUUACAUGAAUCUCAAGAUAACAUAUAAGGAAAACUUGUUUUAUCUUACCUAUGAGCCGUUGGCGAUCAAGCUCAUAUAUUUUUAAAAACAAAUAAUAGCAAAAUAUUAAAUUCAACAUCAUAAUCAUUAUCAUCAUCACAUGACCAUAAUAAAAUUUGGUUCAAAAGUGAACCUUGCUGAGAUUUACUCACCUCAAUAUCCCACUGCGUUUCCGCAAAACACAAGAGUCAAGCUAACCACAACCUUACAAAACAACCACAAUUAAAAACCUUAGAAAAAUCACAACAAGGAUCAAAGUACCCUUAACUUAAAGGUUGCCCAAAGAAGGGCAAUCCUUCCUCCAAGACGUCCCAAGGUCAUUGGACACUCAACAACAACCAUACUACCUCCAUGAUCAAACUUUCUAAGUUUCCGACCAAACGAACACCAUGAACAACUUAGCACCUAAGAUGCAAAAACCUAAUCAACACUUAGCCAUCACACACAAUCAACACACUAGCAACUACAAGGACUAGCUAACACAGCAACCAAAGCUCUCACACUGCCCGUACGCGCUCCCACUCGUCGCCACAGGCGGCGGCGAGUGAGCCUCAAGCGCCUCCAUCAAACUUCAAAAUUUAGGGAAACUCAUAACAUGAAACUUGUAGAUUGAAGCAUGGUGAACAACUUUAAUACCUGAGGUUUUAACCAAUUUGGCCGGAAUCGGCCGGAAAAAGCUCCGAACACCACACCGAAUCCAAACUUCCAAAUCUGCAUAACCGGGGUUCAAACACUCCAAAACCUGAUUCAAUCUAUGCCUAGUCAUAACCAGAAGGAGGAGAGGACCCAAACUCACCUAAGAAGGCCCAUCGUCGCCGCCGUAUACGGUGGUUCCGAUCACCACACAACAGCUCCCUUUUUCGGCCAACAGCUCCUUUUCCGGCGUGCUAUGUCAUGCAGCAGCUACCCAGCCUUGAAGAGGACACUUGUGGUAGUCGAACGGGACCGGCGGUGGUCCAAACGAUGGCCGGAUGGUGGAGCUAGCUCCGGCGGAAGUUGGUUGCUUGGGGUGAGCUCAAGAGAGGAAGAGAGAGAAAAGAGAGAGAAGAGAGAGAGCUGACUUUAGGGUUCCCAAAAAUAAAUCCCACACAUUUUUCUACUUAUACACUUUCCAAACCCAGAAAUAAACUUCCUCUAACCAUGUCUACGAACUCGUAUCGACAAACUCUACAACUUUCAUGAAGGAAGUUUUUGAAGAUAACUUACGGAAAAUAAAGUCAACUUUUGGCCUCUUAGAAGUUAAAACACUUUAAAAUUUACUCCCGAAACUUCAACUUCGCACAAACUAAAGAAUUUCCAUAAAUAAUCCUUCAUUAAUUAUGGGAAUAAUACAAGGAAAAUUGAUGUGAAAAUCUAGGGUAUUACACGUAUACUGAACAAAUAUAACAAAUUACAUAGUGACACUAUGCCAAUAACAUCAUCAGAUAAAAGGGGCACGACAUAAAAAACUGCAUUUCAAAACAAUGUUGUCUGAUGGUUUUUUUGGUUCUUUAAACGACAUAAAUUAUAAAAGUCGUCUCAAUGGCAUGAUACUUUAAUACUUUUGAAUGUUGCUUCAUUUUUUCUAUGUAGCGCCCCGGACUUUAUUUGACCAUUUACCGUCACUUGGACCGUAAAUGAGCAUCAUGUUUUUACUUUUACCUUCAUAUUCAAGCUUUUAGUGGCUCUAAAAUUUGACUUUUUCCUACGUUCGAAAUUUGAGAAAACUUUCUUUAUGAAAGUCGUAAAGGACGUUAAACCGAGUUUGUGGAUAUGUGGCACGUUUUAAUCAGAGUUUGUACGAAAAAGUUACAAGUGUCACACCCCGAAUUUUGGAUAAAUAAAAAUCCAAAUUCAAGGCAUGAUAAAAAAAAAAAAAAUGUCAUAUAAAACAUUCUGACGUUUACAUAACUUGAGAAGUCAAGUAAAAGUCACGCUCUAAAGAGCUCACUACAAAUUGAUAAUCAAUAAUAAAAAUAUUCAACUCCUAACAAAGCAGCUUCUAGACCUCAACGUCUCAAUCUUGAAAAAUCUCACCUGCAAAAAUCAAUCUCUACACAAUGGAUUGGUGCACCAGGUUGUAAACAACAAACCCGGUAAGCUUUAAUAGAUCGUAUGAGUAAAUCUACAUUAAAAGUCUCAACCCAACAUGUAAUACCCUUAAUUUUAUAAAGUAUCAUCUCUUUAUUUGGGCUAAUAUGUUCUACAUACAUAUACACCUGUAUAUAUACAAAGUUCAUGUAUUAAUAUAAGAUAAAUAAAAGUAGUCGAGUAACCACAAGGUAUGAGCUCGGUUAAGGGCAAAAUGGUCAUUUAACAAUAAUUAUGUAUAAUUAAAUUACGGGUUCGUGAAGCUUCGGAAAGGGAGGUCAGUGUUGGAACUGACAUGGAGAGAAUUUAAAGGGGACGAGGUUUCCAGAGAAAAGGGGGGAGAGCUCGAGAAGCUUCAAGGCUUCUGAACCCCUAAUCGGGAAAGAAAAUGCCUCAGUCCAUGAGGUGGACAGGAAGAUCUCUUCCAAUUUCUUUCUUCACUGCGGUGUCGCCACAAUUUUGAUUACUCAGUUGAUGGGUAUUCCGACUACGAUCGUUUGUACAUGAGGUGAGAGACUCCAGACUUGAUACUCAUGUCAAGAUCUAUGUCUGGUAUUUGUUUUAAUCGAGUUUUGAAUGAGAUUAGCGAAUUCUGGGAACUAUAUUCCUUGAAUUACUUGUGGGUCAGGGUGUCACACAACAUCACAUAAGAUAAAACCGGUAAUUCCUGUAUUAGAAACUUAGUUCAAGAAUUGUCUAAAAACAAGAGAAUUCAAAAGAGAGUAAAUAAGAAAACACAACAAUUCACAAUCAAUCAAAAUCAUAAAAGAAUCCUACAAAAAGUGUAGUUCAGGAAUUCCACUAAAAAUCACACAAUUAAGAUUAAAGAAUCUCCUGCGGAUAAGCAUAGUUCAGGAGAUACUCAAAGUAAGGAAUUUAAAUGACAACACGUAAGAACAUUACACAAUCAUUUCUCCACUCUUACUUAUGAGUUCGUCAACACUUCUUCAUCCCCCAUAAGUAACUAGACAAACACGUACUCAUGGGUUCGUCAACACAUAGUCAUCCCCCAUGAAGUACCGACAGAUAGACUAGAGCUCUAAACUGACCGUAACCAAUCACCCGGCCAAGGCUUGGUUCUCGGUCCACCAUGAAGGCUCCUAAUCUAAUGCACACAAUUACCACUAAGGCACACACAUCCACAACUAAUGCACACAAUUACCACGAAUGCACCAUUCCACAACUAAUGCACACAAUCACUACAAAGGCACACAUCCAAUUACUCUCCCAUCAUGAGACUUAUCAACCUCAACAUGCUACUACACCAUCUCAAGAAGAGUAAUAGUACACAACAACCGAUCAAAGCACAAACAAUAACCAUAUUUCAACAUCACAAUAUCCCAUGAUCACAACGUACUUUUCACACAUACACACAUGUGGAUAUAAUUAUUUAAAGUAAGAAUAGUCUACCAACUCCAAUUAUGACCUAUGAUCGGAAGUCCUUUUGAGAGAUUUUAUUUUUAUCAGAAAACAUAUUUUCACUUACCCAUGAGCCGUUGACGAUCAAGCUCAUUUAUACUUAAAAACAAAAUCAUUUUCCUUCAAGGACAACUUCACAAUUAACAAUAAUAAACUAUAAAAUAAACUCGGUUCCUUUAUGAAUCCAUGUGAGAUUUACUCACCUAUGAAUCCCGCUGCGUCUUCACAAAAACACACAGACCAAGCUCAACACCAACUCCACAACUUACCUAAUUAACACAAAUAUUAACCUUAGUAACCAAUCAAGCUAAAGAGUAACAUUUGCCCUCUUAACCCAAAACUUAAUCCGAAGGUUUGCCCAAAGGAGGGAAACUCUCCUUCGAGACCUCCCAAGGUCCUCGAUCACCAAAAACAAUACCUCAUGCAACUGCCAAAAACGGCUCCUACAUUCGAAAUCACAAACUCAACAACCUCACACCUCAUCGAAAUAGCUCCAACAAUAAGCAUUACAUGAUCUCAACCUAAUCUUAUAAUAUAUCAACAUGCUCAUAACAACAAGAACUAGCUAACCAUUGCAACAUAAUCUACACACCCUACCAGACGCGCUGCCAUGCGCCACCCAAAACUUCAGAAUCUGAACAAACUCCCAACAUCAAACUUGUAGAUUGAAGAGAGGGAAACAUCUUUUAUACCUGAGGCUAAGUCCAACUCGGCCUUAAACCGCCCUAAACAGCCGCCACAAGCUCCGAUCUUCACACUAUAAUUUGGGGUUCAAAAACCCAGAAAUCAGUCGCAAGGAUGGUAUGAACGUGCUAGGAAGGAAGAAUACUUCAAGAAAUGGGUAGCCUUACCUCUAGUCGUUGCCGUACACGGCCGAAAAAUCCUCAGGUCGAAGUCGGGUCCGCCACCCUCACUGUGGCGUUCGAUUCUCGAAAUCCUACUCGAGUUGUCCUCACCCACCUACACAGGGAGGAUCACACCGAGGAGAGGAAGAAAACUUACCGGUGUCGGCGCCUAGGUCGGUCGGAGGUGGCCGGAAAAGCCAAGUCGGGCCAAUCGGGUUCGGGUCGAGUCGAAAGGAAAUUUCAGUUAGUGAGGGUGAGGCGCGAGAGAGAAGGAAGAGAGAAGGAAAUGGGUUCCAGAAAAAUGAAAUGGAAACCCUAAACUUUACUUAUUUAACCCAAAAUCUCUUAAAGCCACGAACUUCCGCUGACCAUAACUUUCCCAUACGAAGUCCGUUUUACGCGUGCCACAUGUCUACGAACUCGCAUCGUCAUGCUCUAUAACUUUUGUGAAGGAAGUUUCUCGAGAAACCCAACAGAUUAAAAAGUCAACUCUUGACCCUUCAAAAUAAAGCAAUUUCAAGAAAUUAAAUGCUUGAAUACUUCCAGUCCACUCACUAAACCACAAAUCCACACAACUCCUACUUAGAUAAUUUCCAAAAUAAUAUUAGAAAUUAGUAUCGAAUUUCCGGGGUAUUACACAAGGGUUUAAAGUCAGGGGCAGUUGGUAAUUUCGCAGGAAACUCAAGUUCUAUAAAUAGCAAAUCAAACCCCCAUUUCGGGAUAAUUCCAGAAAUUGCCAAGAAUUUCUAGAAUUGCUGCCGGAACUUCUCGGCCACGUUGGCGCCAAUUCCAGCCAGCUUUGGUGAUGAGACCAGUCCCAUUCUCUUUGUCUUGGAAUGAUCUUUCCAACCAUAUAUACCAUGCAACCUCUUUCUGACCGUAUGAGACGAAUCGAAGGGAAGAAGGUAUGACUAUCUUUUAGGCUAUUUUUCAUAUUCCGGCCAACUCCGGCCAAAUUGGACGAUGUGACUAAUUGGGAUUUGUUCAUCUUGCCAAGCUCUACAGAACCUCCAAAGGGUUUCCAUCGAUUUGCAAGGUGGAGAGAGAAUCGACGAAUCCAAAUUCUAGGGUUCAUAAUUUGGGGAUAUUUCUUGACAAGGUAAAUUAUGUUACUUACACUUGAAAUUGAUAUUCGUGCUAGUUAAGGAAGUUGUUUGGUUUGUUGAGAGGACCGUUGUAUUAAAUUUUGGUGGCGAUCGGAGGUGGUUGGAGUUUGGCAGUGGUCGGCCGCCGCUGCCACUUUUGGGUUUUUUUUUAGUUGUUUAACUUGUUCAUGUUGAGAGGAGUCUAAUGGUAUGAAAUUUGAGAAUUUUGGUGAAGUUUUGAAUAGGUAUGGGAUUAUUCGAAGUUUGGUUUUAUCGGUGUGUUACUCGAGAAGAUCCUACCGUUGGAUUUCCCUUAUUUCUGUUUUAGAAUGUUGAAAUAAAUGAAAUAAGGUUGCAAGUGGAGUUUGGCAUGAAUCCGAUAAGCUGAACCCUAGUAAGGGUAGUUGGUUAAGUGGAAGUGUUUUGGUGUUUAUAUUUAAGUAUUCAUUUUUCUGAAAUUGAAGUUUGGUCCUAAGCAUGAUUAUUGUGCCAAGAUAUGAGGGGACCUUGCUUGAGUGGCGAUUCGGGUUUCGUCAGGCUUAGGCCUAAAUUUAUGAGUGGACAUUUUGGUUUUUCUUAAAUAUGCAUGCAUGACUUUAUAAGUUAUCGUUAUUAUUUUUAUCGAACUUAUAUAUUAUAAUUUCGGCUUACGACUUGGAUCAGAAAUUAUUUGAGAUCGUUAAUGAUUUAUGGAUUUGAGCUUGAGUUAUUAAUUUGGUAUUUGAGUUUUUCUAUUCUUUAUGAUUCCCAGAUUUAAUUAUUAUCAUCAUUACUUGUUGACUUUGAGAUUUAUAAAAGAUUACCAAAGACGGGAUUUUCGGUAGGUCUCUAUUUAAAAUUUUCUCGUUUAUUUGUGGAUGUUCGAUCUUGACAUUGAGAAUAUUUUAGCGAGUAUUUCGGGUUGAGAAAUUAUUUACGAUUUAUACUUAAUAAUUAAAUCUCGUUUAUAAUUAUAGAUUUGAGAAUAUUUUGACGUGUGAGACAUGCCAUUGAGUUUUAUUAUAUUGUCUUAUGAUAAUUUCCAAGUAUGGUUAGGAAUUGUACUCGUGACUGCAGUUGCACGAAAUUGGGGAAGCUUUAUGGAUUUAGAUGUUUUCGUAUGAUUUUAGUCACCAUACUAGGGUCGCUCUUAUUCAUUGCUAGCUAGCCUCUAUUAGCGGUCAUCACUAUAGGUGAGUCGAGCGCUUAGCGUGGGACGCUACUAUAGCCUGGGAGGCUCUGAUCGAUUUUUAUUCAUUGCUAGGUAGCCAUUAUUAGCGGUCCUCACAAUUGAUGAGUUGAGCGCUUAGUGUGGGACGGUACUAGAGCCUGGGAGGCUCCUCUUAUAUGGUGAUAUCUCUUCCCCUUGUGUAAUUUUUCUCAAGUUAUGUAUUUGAUUAAUCAACAGGGUUGGUUUGUCUAUUCUUACGUGAUUCUGGACAAUAAGCCGAAUGUUUGAUCAAGGUUGCUUCACUAUGCCAAUAACAUCAUCAGACGACACAAGAGGCAUGACAUAUAAAGCAGCAUUUGAAACAAGUGUCGUUUGAUGGAUUUUGUGGUUUUUUAAACGACAUAUAAAAUGUAAAAGUCAUCUCAAUGACAUCCUACUUCAAUAUUUUUAGAGGCUAGUUCAUUUUUUCUAGGUUUGUAAAAAUCAUAUGAUGUAUAGGUGUGGUGUCAAAAAACACAGAAAUUCUCACUUUUAGCUGAAAAUUGAGACCUCGUAUAUAUGUUGUGUGAGAAAGACUGUCUAAAUCUAAUUUUUAGCUCUUUCAAUGUACUUCUGAAGACGACAAAUAUAUGUCGUCUGAAAGAAACUGAAAUUUUCAAUUCGAACUUAGAAAUUCUCACUUUUUGCAGAAAAUUGAGACAUCAUAUAUAUGUUGUCUGAGGAAGGCUAUCCAAAUCCGGUUUUUAGCUAGCUCUUUUAAUGUACUUCUGGAGACGACAAAUAUAUGUCGUCUGAAAGAAACUGAAAUUUUCAAUUCGAAUUUAGAAUUUCUCACUUUUUGCUGAAAAUUGAGACCUCAUAUAUAUGUUGUCUGAGGAAGGCUGUCCAAAUCCGGUUUUCAGCUCUUUUAAUGUACUUUUGGAGACGACAAAUAUAUGUCGUUCGAAAGAAACUGAAAUUUUCAAUUCAAAUUUCCCUGUGCAGAGUUUUACUUAUGAGACGAUGUAACACCCUGACCUAGGUGUUAGAAGAAUAAACGAAUAAAAUAAAUAAGGAAAUCCUAAAUCGAAAAUGAGAUAGGAUCUCAUUAUCAAUCAAAACAACAAAGCAGUUUUUGCUGCGUUUAGAACCUAAAUUUUAUUUUGUUUAUUUACGGUUGCACCCAAAACAUUGAUCAGGCUGCCUAUGUACCCUUUUUAAAGGGAUUAAGCCACUCGUAGUUCAACAUUUUAUACUAUUUCUCUAUGCAUCGGAAAAUCCGAAGCUUAACAAACAUUAGUCCAAAAAUUACAAACUUUUCACCAUUAGGCUUCUCUCAUUUUUAUACCCUUUACCGAAACAGUAACUUUCCAUUUUUAGACAAUAACUUCGCAUCUAUAACCCAUUUGAUUCUCAUUCCCAAUCUUUAACUUGAGAUCAAAAAAUCAUUCAACUCCCACACAUUUAGCAUAUCAACCAACAUAUCUCACAAAUUCGUCAAAAAGAAUUUCAAAGCAAAAUUGCAUAAUUACUAUGGACACCCAUAGUCAUACUUCGGGCAUUUCUCAACAUCAACUUGAUACAGUUUUGUAUCUUUAAUCAUUUUAUCAAGACCAAUGUAACUAAGUGAUUAUCUUCUUAUUAUAACCAAUUCUAGACCAUUUCAUUUAUCACAAUAAAACCAAAUUCACAUGAAGUGCACCCACACGGGAAACACAGAAGCCUGUACAGAACUUCCCUUGUUCUCCUACUCCAACACCUCGUCAAACAACAACCCAACAAUUUUAAAUGACAAACAUAGUCCAAACAACAUCGAAACAGUAGCCAAGUAAACCCAUAUUAUAGAGAAUGAAGAGAGAAGUAUGUUUCUGUCACACCUGACCCUGAGUUUAAAUCAGGAAAUAAACCCAAUAAUCCUCAAAUUCAGCUAUUCAAAUACAUCUCCUACAGUUGCUAACUGAUUGGAAAUCACCAAACAAAGGCUAAAACGCUGUCGCCAUCGCCAAGGACAGCAGCCGUACACGGUGGUGUACUCUGCCCCAAAAUCCCAACUUCACCCAAUAUCAACCACACUCGAUUUCAAGCAUCUACAAAUACUCAUACAUGUUCAAUAUCUAACAAAAGCCAGAAUAACAUGAACUAUCGUCGCCGUCGUGCUCAGCAGCACACACGGCGGCCCUCUUCUGCCAAAACUCAACUUCUCCAAAUCUUAACCAAACUGAAAUUGAACAACACAGAGAGAUAGAACUCGAAGAGCAGAUCAUGUUUUAUACCUCAGUUUCCAUCGACGAGGGCUGGAAUCGGCAAACUCAACCUUCUUCUCUCCUUCGUCUCUUUGUAACCGAAGCUCCUUUGCCAAGACCAAGACCCCAGAUUGAAUAGAAACCCCGAGAGAAAGCUAACGGUACCAAUGACUCUUGCCGUCGUGGCCGGGAUCGGAAACAGAUCGGAGAGGCAGUCGCCUUCUUUUCUUCGAUUCUCUCUCAACUCGGCUUCCCAUCGGAAUCUAACACAAGAGAGACGUCGGGGACGGCGAGACGAAGCUCUGGACACCACUCCCGCACCGAGAGACGACCAAACGGCGGAGGAGCGACCGGAGGUCUCCGCCGCUUCUCCCCGGCUCGAGACCGAGUCCCUCUCAGCUUCUUUUUUUUUCUCCUCC
This 26972-nucleotide long non-coding RNA is filed under the name Fragaria vesca (wild strawberry). RNAcentral describes it as "long non-coding RNA (FVES_LNC005328)". Lineage: Eukaryota; Viridiplantae; Streptophyta; Magnoliopsida; Rosales; Rosaceae. The record is from RNAcentral.